RNAcentral lists this transfer RNA (75 nucleotides) under Marmota monax (woodchuck). RNAcentral describes it as "tRNA.Ala". It matches the Rfam family "tRNA". From Rfam's summary of the family: Transfer RNA (tRNA) molecules are approximately 80 nucleotides in length. Their secondary structure includes four short double-helical elements and three loops (D, anti-codon, and T loops). The record is from RNAcentral. Lineage: Eukaryota; Metazoa; Chordata; Mammalia; Rodentia; Sciuridae.
GGGGUUGUAGCUCAAUGGCAGAGUGCUCACCUAGCACGUGCGAGGCCUUGGGUUCGAUCCUCAGCACCAGUUUCA